ACAAAUUAGAGCUUGUAAAAGUAUUUCAUUUACAUUGAAACGAAAUUAAUAAUUAAUUAAUUUGAG
This 66-nucleotide transfer RNA is filed under the name Araschnia levana (map butterfly). RNAcentral describes it as "tRNA-Val". Lineage: Eukaryota; Metazoa; Arthropoda; Insecta; Lepidoptera; Nymphalidae. The record is from RNAcentral.